Ziziphus jujuba (common jujube) is the source of this 942-nucleotide long non-coding RNA. RefSeq lists it as uncharacterized. The transcript is spliced from 3 exons. The record is from RefSeq and is a predicted model, not a curated record. NCBI's taxonomy places the organism in Eukaryota, Viridiplantae, Streptophyta, Magnoliopsida, Rosales, Rhamnaceae.
UAUAUAUUUAAAGUAAGAGCGAGUGCGAGAAAUCGGAUUUUUCGACUCAAUGACCUAUCCCAAACACACUCAAAGACGAAGGCUUCAUAAAUUCUAGAAUUCCUACCCACCAAUGGAUUCUAAGGCUUUCGGGAUUACCUAAAACAGUGUAGAAGCUGUGGUGGCGGACGCGAUAUGAAAAUUUGCUUGCUGGAGGACGCCCCUAAGAGCCAACAAGCCCGGUCACUUUGGCAAGGCAAUUCCUAAGCUAGGCCUCAAUCUUUAGCUGAAGCAGGUUCUUUAGCUUCCCUUUUCGUUGAGUGUGAAGAAGAAGAAGAAUACUCGGCUGAACCCCAAGAUCUGGAACUAGAUCCCAUGUCACUCCACCCUAAGGAAAACCAAGGAGAAAGAUUCAGAUCUGGUAAAGUGUGAGUCCCAAGAGUUGGGUUCGAGGUCGAGGUGGAAGGGCGGUCUUCUUCUUCUGAAGAAGAAUCAAACUCACAAGCGGCAACGCUGAUGGCUGGAAGAAGAGGCGCCUGGCUCGGAGUUAAUAAAUUAUUCAUGCCUAUAAUUGACCGAAAAUCAAUUGCAUAAUGCGGCCACGUUAACUGCCGUUGGAUUCUUUCCUAGUCCAUGACUUCUGCUUGGUUCUGUUUGUUAAUGAUUUGAGCUUGCUUAUCUGUAAGAUUUAUGUUUGCUGACUGUUGCCUGCUCUGUUCUGCUCUGCUUUAUCAUGUCAAUAAGUUUCUCAUACCUUUUUUUUUUUUUUUUUUUUUUUUUGGAAUUUUGGGUCGAGAAAGGAAAAAUCCUUAAAUUUGGAUGCCAUUUAUGAUGAAGUACAUAAGUUCUGUAAUUUAGCCAUAAAAUUUCCAACUGCAGUUGAAAGGUUGAACUAAAAGUGGUAAUUUAUCUUUAUAUAUAACAAAAUAGAUUUUUUUUUUUUUUUUCCCUAUCAAAAAUUAU